RNAcentral lists this ribosomal RNA (479 nucleotides) under uncultured bacterium. Its description in RNAcentral is "partial 16S ribosomal RNA". It matches the Rfam family "Bacterial small subunit ribosomal RNA", at positions 28 to 507 of the family's 1533-position model. The record is from RNAcentral.
GACGAACGCUGGCGGCGUGCUUAACACAUGCAAGUCGAACGAAGCUUGAUUACGGAUUCUUCGGAUGAAGUAUGAUAUGACUGAGUGGCGGACGGGUGAGUAACGCGUGAGUAACCUGCCCUUCAGAGGGGGAUAGCGUUUGGAAACGAACGGUAAUACCGCAUAAUGUAUUUUGACCGCAUGAUCGAAAUACCAAAGAUUUAUCGCUGAAGGAUGGACUCGCGUCUGAUUAGGUAGUUGGUGGGGUAACGGCCUACCAAGCCGACGAUCAGUAGCCGGACUGAGAGGUUGAUCGGCCACAUUGGGACUGAGACACGGCCCAGACUCCUACGAGAGGCAGCAGUGGGGAAUAUUGCACAAUGGGCGCAAGCCUGAUGCAGCAACGCCGCGUGAAGGAAGACGGUUUUCGGAUUAUAAACUUCUGUUCUUAGUGAAGAAUAAUGACGGUAGCUAAGGAGCAAGCCACGGCUAACUACGUG